RNAcentral lists this ribosomal RNA (441 nucleotides) under uncultured bacterium. Its description in RNAcentral is "partial 16S ribosomal RNA". It matches the Rfam family "Bacterial small subunit ribosomal RNA", at positions 338 to 795 of the family's 1533-position model. The record is from RNAcentral.
CCUACGGGAGGCAGCAGUGGGGAAUAUUGCACAAUGGGGGAAACCCUGAUGCAGCAACGCCGCGUGAAGGAAGACGGUUUUCGGAUUGUAAACUUCUGUUCUUAGUGAAGAAUAAUGACGGUAGCUAAGGAGCAAGCCACGGCUAACUACGUGCCAGCAGCCGCGGUAAUACGUAGGUGGCAAGCGUUGUCCGGAAUUACUGGGUGUAAAGGGAGCGCAGGCGGGAAGCCAAGUCAGCUGUGAAAACUACGGGCUUAACUUGUAGACUGCAGUUGAAACUGGUUUUCUUGAGUGAAGUAGAGGUUGGCGGAAUUCCGAGUGUAGCGGUGAAAUGCGUAGAUAUUCGGAGGAACACCGGUGGCGAAGGCGGCCAACUGGGCUUUAACUGACGCUGAGGCUCGAAAGUGUGGGGAGCAAACAGGAUUAGAUACCCCAGUAGUC